RNAcentral lists this ribosomal RNA (427 nucleotides) under uncultured bacterium. RNAcentral describes it as "partial 16S ribosomal RNA". It matches the Rfam family "Bacterial small subunit ribosomal RNA", at positions 355 to 774 of the family's 1533-position model. The record is from RNAcentral.
UGGGGAAUAUUGCACAAUGGGCGCAAGCCUGAUGCAGCCAUGCCGCGUGUAUGAAGAAGGCCUUCGGGUUGUAAAGUACUUUCAGAGGGGAGGAAGGCGAUGUGGUUAAUAACCGCGUCGAUUGACGUUACCCGCAGAAGAAGCACCGGCUAACUCCGUGCCAGCAGCCGCGGUCAUACGGAGGGUGCAAGCGUUAAUCGGAAUUACUGGGCGUAAAGCGCACGCAGGCGGUCUGUCAAGUCGGAUGUGAAAUCCCCGGGCUCAACCUGGGAACUGCAUCCGAAACUGGCAGGCUUGAGUCUCGUAGAGGGGGGUAGAAUUCCAGGUGUAGCGGUGAAAUGCGUAGAGAUCUGGAGGAAUACCGGUGGCGAAGGCGGCCCCCUGGACGAAGACUGACGCUCAGGUGCGAAAGCGUGGGGAGCAAACA